GCCCAAUAAACGCGCGUGCGCGGAAGAAUUAACCGUUUCCAGAGAUUGAGAACGACUACGAUGAGGUUCCGUGUUUCUGGUGCAGGUAGCCAGUGAACUGAGCGAAGAUCAGCGCAAGGUUUCUUGUAGGCCUAUGUGGACAGGAGGAGCCGCUGCUGGCCUUUAGGACUGGAAAGUAUGCGGUCUGUGGCCACAAUCCCACCUCUUAGCCUGGGAACGGAAGCAGGGAGUCGCGAGGGAAAACAAGCAGACAAUCAGAAAUCUUGGCCUGAAUGAAAGCCACAUUUAGCUCAACCUUGGCAGCCUCUCCUUCAACAACAUCAUUCAAUGUAGCUAUACACCCUUUCAGCACAAAUACAGGCAGUGAAAGUGAUAGUGGACCAGACUUCAUAUGCUCGAAGAUCACUGCUCUUCACUGACCAGCUGACAACCUGUCCAGAGCCAGCUGAUCUAUGCCAAAGUUCUACUUUGAAAAGGGCUUUUCAUGCUAGAAAGACAAACUGUGUCAAAACAAAAGCAAGAUCCUCUGGUAAUGUCACAGGAUGGGUGGUUCUGUUUGGGUAGGUACCCACAGAUGUGUGUCAAUCAUAAGACAGGAAGUGGCACUGAACGUUUACACCCUCACACAUUCACACACCCACAUUGUACUCUUUUAAAAGACAUACAUUGCAAAUAUGUCAUGUGUAGGUUUUUACUCUGCAGCUGCAAUCCUGUUUUACUUGUUUAGAUCAUAGAUGUUUUUUUUUUUAAUUGUUUAUUCCCAUUAACUUUGAGUUUUAUAUGAAAAUCGAAAUUUCCAGUGUUUAAUUAUAUACACAGAUCUAAACGGAUUCUGCCGCUAUGUUGUGCACCAUUGCUGUGGAUCCUAGAGAUUACAUAACAACCCUGCCAAUGGUUUUUAUGUAGAAACAAAAAUAUAGAAGUGUCCAUUCACACACAUAACACUUUUUUGCAUGCUUUCAUCCGCUGCUUUUACUUUUGAUUUUAAUAGGCAAGCAGUUGCAAUGUUUCACUGUCGCUCUUGUGUUUCGAAUCUUGAUGUUCGAAUCUCAUGCUGUCAAUAUAACAGUG
This 1071-nucleotide long non-coding RNA is filed under the name Danio rerio (zebrafish). RNAcentral's name for it is "lncRNA si:ch211-212m6.3 (ENSDARG00000097316.3)". The record is from RNAcentral. Lineage: Eukaryota; Metazoa; Chordata; Actinopteri; Cypriniformes; Danionidae.